UAAGAUAUGCAUUAAUGGUGGAACUUCCCAGCAAAAUAUUCCAAUACAAUGUAAAUCAUUACCUACUAAAAACUCAGUUCCACAGAAGGAGAUGAGCCAUAUUGGGAACCUGUAAGAAUACAUGCUUACAUCAUCUUCAAUGCAUGAAAGCAGUAUCUAUAUGAGAAAUUAUUGAAUGAGAUAGCAGAUUCUGAAACAUAUUACAAGAGAAUUGCUUGUCCAGUAUCCCUCAGAAAAUUGAUGGCUGGCCUCUCUCUAAAACUUUUCCACUCACUCUCUGCUAGAAACUUAUGCUCUGAAGCAUUACAACUCUAAAAACCUUUUCAUGGAAUUCACUAGAAACUUAAAUUCAUUGCUCAGAAAUGAGUGGAAAACCACUUAGCCUGUAAGUAUAAGGCAAGAGAGACCUGUAUUUGCUCUUGUUGGGCCCUAAAGCAAUCUUACCUCAGGUACUCCAGUAACUACAACUGCAUGAGAAUGAGAAUUGUGAUAUGUUCACAAAAAUAAAUCUUUGCAACUUUUCCAAGGUGGAAGACAGAGACCAUCCCACGUUCCUUUUAAAUUUGAAUCCAGAUUCUUGCCUCUGUUUAAUCCAGAGCCUAUGCUGCUGUGCCCAGUCCAUCCAUUUAUUUAUUUAUUACAUUUACAUAGCACCUUUCCUCCAGAGCAACGUCUUUGUCAGAGCUGGCUCCUGGGGGAACAAUUGAUCACAGGGAUGUUGUGGAGCCUGCAGAGUAAGCAGAAUAUCAAACACUCUCUUAUAUUAGAAACAGGGAUGACUUCCCAGGAUUUUUACUGUGCAGAUGCUUAUUUCGCUUCAUUUUUAAAGGAUGGUUACUAUAGGAAAUUUCUAAAAUCUUGGAAGGGGUAAAAUUUCUCUGUUUUAUUCUAUUUAUAGCCCUAAAAAAUAAUGCCUAUCCUACCAUUUUGUCACAGUCUGAUAACGAAUUAAAGUAGGUAAAUUUUCUUAUUUGCCAGUUUAAAUAAGGUAGGAGAAAAGUAGAAAUGUCUCUUGUUCAUUGGAAUUGGGCUUUGGCAGAUUCAUAGACAUUUUGAUUUAUAGAUAUAUCUUCAAUCUUUUCUGAGCUGUGUCAUACCUUUUUAUCUCAGUACACUUAAAAAAAAAACAGGCAACGGUUAAAACAUUGAAAACACAUUGCAGGUUAUAUUUGUGUUGGGAGUGCAUUGUCCUUGACCCAUAUGAUAACAGUUAGGAUGUACUAACAUAGAGCUGCUGAUAGUCAUGUUUCUGUACUCUAGCCAUAACAACACAUUACCAUGUUUCUUCACAGUGGAUAAACAUGGAAGUGCUUUAAAACAAUGCCAUAAGAGGUUGACGGAACAGGUGAAGACAUAUUAUUGCCAAAAGAGCAUUAAGGUAAGGUCGGGAAAAUUGACUUUCAGCCUAAGAUUCAUCAUUACUUGCUGUGUGACUUUGGAUAAUUCAUUUGCUAUUGAUAAUUCAUUUGCUAUCUCUGACCCUUAGUUUCCUCAUCUAUACACUAAAGUGGAAAUCCUAGACAAUCUCAGGUCAUUUCCUCAAUGAGUCUUCUUGGAAACUUGAAUCAGGUUCUCAGAAGUCCUUGGUAAAGAUAAAGUAGGUGGUAGAAUCAAACCUUGUGACCAUAUUUGUUGCCUAUAUUUGUUGUAUAUUUACUACAUGCCAGGUGUCAUGCUAGGUAACACAAAUGUAAAAAAGAGGCUUCUCAGUGAGAGAGAGCUUAUAUUCCAGGGAGACGGAAAUUAAAUGAAAAGGUGCUUAUAUACUUACAACUGAGAUUUAAAAAAAACUGUGCAACAAAAAAUACAGAAUGUUAUUGAGAGGUUAUAAUACAAUUUAGUUAUCUAGCUUUGUUGGAUUUUGUUAAAAAUUCUCUGCGAUAUUUCCAAGGAGCAUAUUUUUUUUCACGCAUGUGUUUUAGGGAGAGUCAUACCGCAGGGCUACAAUUGAUGAAGCAUCUUUCAGAGCAUUUUUUAUAUCCUGAAACAGUAAAAGCAAGCAGUUAACUAUAUUAUAAGAGCCACCCGAAAUUAUGCUGAGUCUCUUUACAGCAAAACAUGGAACAUCAAUAUGGUUUUCUAGCUUAUUUCAGUGACUUUAAUUCUGGACUAUCUUUUUAAAGAUAUUGGUACAGUGAAAACUCUUGGAAGAUAGAGAUAGUGUUUCCUAUCAGAACAAAUGGUAAAAUUGCUCAUAGUCUCAGAAGACAGGCUUGCUUUGCUGUGCAGUAUAAUAAAGAUAAUGAUUCCUCACUCCCUGGAGAAAGGGGAGGCAUAUUUAUCACCCAUUUUGAAAGAUUUGGUUAUUCUAGGAUCACAUUCCUCUCCUGGGACACAAUCCACUAUGUUAAUUGUGCUAAUUCAAACAUGUAAGUAAUAUUUAGCCCUCUUCCUGUCAUGCUAUAGGGAUUGGAGCUUUGGGAGCAAUGCAAAAAUUACUGGUACUCUGGCUGCUGAUAUCACUGCAAAUAAUAAGCUGUCCUUUGUCUUAUGAUUUAUAACAGCAUCCAUGAAUUUGUGGCAGGAUAAUUUGGUAGUUUUCAAUAAUGUAGGACUUUUAAUAAUAGCUAAUGGAGAGAAAGGAACAAGGUUUUUGUUUGUUCUAUUUUCUUUAGGAUGGAAAAACACGAAAGCACAUCCACAGCUACUAGUUGAAUCUGGCUUGAAACAAACAACUGUGACUUGGAAGAGCUUAUUACUGUUGUUUUUAAAAGAAUCUUUCUGCAUAAAGGAUUGUUUAUUUUAGUGGUAAUAAUAAUAUGUAUGCUCUUUAUUGAGUAUGUAUUACUUUCCUAAUACACAGAUCACUUCUUUUAAGGGCUGCACCUGAAGCAUAUGGAAGUUUCCAGGCUAGGGGUUGAAUCGGAGCUGCAGCUGCCAGCCUAUGCCACUGGCAUAGCAAUGCCAGAUGUGAGCCGCAUCUGCCACCUAUACCACAGCUCAUAGCAAUGCCAGAUCCUUAAUCCACUGAGCAAGGCCAAGGAUCAAACCCACAUCCUCAUGGAUACUAGUUGGGUUCACUACCACUGAGCCACAGUGGAAACUCCCAUCAAUUCAUU
Molecule: long non-coding RNA, 3059 nt
Filed under: Sus scrofa (pig)
Lineage: Eukaryota; Metazoa; Chordata; Mammalia; Artiodactyla; Suidae
Description: lncRNA (ENSSSCG00000057950.1)
Source: RNAcentral